GAUGAAGAACGUAGCGAAAUGCGAUAAGUAGUGUGAAUUGCAGAAUUCAGUGAAUCAUCGAAUCUUUGAACGCACAUUGCGCCCUUUGGUAUUCCUUAGGGCAUGCCUGUUCGAGCGUCAUCUAAACCUUCAAGCCCUGCUUGGUGUUGGGUGCCUGUCCCGCCUCCGCGCGUGGACUCACCUCAAAUCCAUUGGCGGCCCCCGCGUCGGCCACGAGCGCAGCAGAAACGCGAACUCGUGAGCCCGUCCGGGCGGCUCCCAGAAGCUAACACCCAAUUUUUGACCUCGGAUCAGGUAGGGAUACCCGCUGAACUUAAGCAUAUCAAUAAGCGGAGGA
This 337-nucleotide unclassified non-coding RNA is filed under the name soil metagenome. RNAcentral describes it as "partial contains 5.8S ribosomal RNA, internal transcribed spacer 2, and large subunit ribosomal RNA". The stretch from base 1 to 120 matches the Rfam family "5.8S ribosomal RNA", at positions 35 to 154 of the family's 154-position model. The record is from RNAcentral.